UGAUUCAAUGGCUGCCCAAUUAAUAAAUUAUUUUUUCUCCAAGUCCCCAACUUCUACGAAAUGGUCAAUUUAAUCCCCGUGUUUUGGAUUUUGCUAUUUUUCUCCAAUUUUGCUUCUUUCCUUUAACUCCUUUUCAUUUAUCGAGUUUACCUAUAAAACAAAAAAUACAACAAUUUAGGAUAUAAUUUGUCAAAUGAACUGUCAAAUUUUGCUAUUUUAGGGCCCCGAAUAAGUGUAUAAAAUACACUAUCACUGAUUAAUAUUCCAUAUAAAAUUAAUCAAGAGCUUCAUGAAAUUGGCUUUGGAUUUUCGACAGAAUAUUUAGUGAUGUGAUGUGGUCCAACAGACAACCAAUGGUAUCAAAAUAUGUGCACAAAAGACCAAAAUACAGAAUAUAACAAAAUACAGUUAGCUUACCAAAGUGAUCAAUCAAGCUACUAUGCUACCAUGCUCCUUGCCAAUUACUUGGAGCACUGGUGUCAUUGCCUGACUUGAAG
RNAcentral lists this long non-coding RNA (497 nucleotides) under Olea europaea (common olive). RNAcentral describes it as "long non-coding RNA (OEUR_LNC003112)". Lineage: Eukaryota; Viridiplantae; Streptophyta; Magnoliopsida; Lamiales; Oleaceae. The record is from RNAcentral.